RNAcentral lists this small RNA (60 nucleotides) under Chinchilla lanigera (long-tailed chinchilla). Its description in RNAcentral is "7SK RNA (ENSCLAG00000021705.1)". It matches the Rfam family "7SK RNA", at positions 26 to 85 of the family's 331-position model. Rfam says of the family: 7SK was discovered as an abundant small nuclear RNA in the mid-70s but a possible function has only recently been suggested. The record is from RNAcentral. Lineage: Eukaryota; Metazoa; Chordata; Mammalia; Rodentia; Chinchillidae.
CAUCUGUCAUCCCAUUGAUCACCAGGGUUGAUUCAGAUGAUCUGGCUGACUAGAUGGGUG